Molecule: long non-coding RNA, 227 nt
Organism: Sinocyclocheilus rhinocerous
Lineage: Eukaryota; Metazoa; Chordata; Actinopteri; Cypriniformes; Cyprinidae
Exons: 3
Source: RefSeq, a predicted model, not a curated record
GGCCACUGAAUAAGAAAGCUGACAGCCGAGGCAAAGAACACUCCGAAUGCGGAGUCAGUCUUUUGUGGCGCUGGACUAACUUACAGAUACUAAAUUGCAUGGAUGAUUAUGGUAGAAGAGAGGAGUAAAAGGCAGCAGCCUCAUGCAGUCUCUGGACUCCAUCAAAGCUUCUGGAAAGGACACUUGGCUGGGCUUUAGCAUGGAGAAGGAUGAGAUGAUUAAACGUG